CCCUUAGAUGUUCUGGGCCGCACGCGCGCUACACUGAUGCAUUCAACGAGUUUUUCCUGGUCCGAGAGGAAUGGGUAACCUUUUGAGAGUGCAUCGUGCUAGGGAUAGACUAUUGCAAUUAUUGGUCUUCAACGAGGAAUUCCUAGUAGACGUAGUUCAUCAGACUGCAUCGAUUACGUCCCUGCCCUUUGUACACACCGCCCGUCGCUCCUACCGAUUGGAUGAUCCGGUGAGCUAUUCGGACCUUCGCUUCGUCGAUUUUCGGCUUUGUGAGGGAAAGUCUCGCGAACCUUAUCAUCUAGAGGAAGGAGAAGUCGUAACA
Molecule: ribosomal RNA, 322 nt
Filed under: uncultured eukaryote
Lineage: Eukaryota
Description: partial 18S ribosomal RNA
Rfam family: Eukaryotic small subunit ribosomal RNA
Source: RNAcentral